RNAcentral lists this unclassified non-coding RNA (1366 nucleotides) under uncultured Pleosporales. RNAcentral describes it as "sequence contains 18S rRNA gene, ITS1, 5.8S rRNA gene, ITS2, 28S rRNA gene". The stretch from base 428 to 1366 matches the Rfam family "Eukaryotic large subunit ribosomal RNA", at positions 1 to 961 of the family's 3401-position model. Lineage: Eukaryota; Fungi; Ascomycota; Dothideomycetes; Pleosporales. The record is from RNAcentral.
GGAAGGAUCAUUACUAGUGCUUGCACUCAGUGCUUGCUUCUGCCCUUGUUUAUACGUAUACUUGUUUCCUAGGCAGGUCUGCCUGCCAAAGGACCAAAACCACAAACUUUGCUGUCUCUUUCAGUUUAUAUAUUACAACUUUCAACAACGGAUCUCUUGGUUCUAGCAUCGAUGAAGAACGCAGCAAAAUGCGAUAAGUAGUGUGAAUUGCAGAAUUCCGUGAAUCAUCAAAUAUUUGAACGCACAUUGCACCCUAUGGUAUUCCAUAGGGUACACCUGUUUGAGCAUUAUCGCCCCUUCAAGCUCUGCUUGUUGUUGAGCCUGUUCAGCGUUGCUGUACUUGCUUCAAAGUUAUCAGCCAUUUUACAAGUGUUUUACAGCAGCACUAUGCUGUUUUUGCUUGCUACAUUGGCAUACACCUUUACUUUAAUCUCAAAUCAGGUGGGAAUACCCGCUGAACUUAAGCAUAUCAAUAAGCGGAGGAAAAGAAACCAACAGGGAUUGCCUUAGUAACGGCGAGUGAAGCGGCAACAGCUCAAAUUUGAAAUCUGGCCCUUCUGGGUCCGAGUUGUAGUUUGUAGAGGGUGCUUUGGCUAGUGCAGCAGUCCAAGUUUUUUGGAAUAGAAUGUCAUAGAGGGUGAGAAUCCCGUACAUGAUUGCCUGCUCUGGCUAUGUAAAGCCCCUUCAACGAGUCGAGUUGUUUGGGAAUGCAGCUCUAAAUGGGAGGUAAAUUUCUCCUAAAGCUAAAUAUCAGCUAGAGACCGAUAGCGCACAAGUAGAGUGAUCGAAAGAUGAAAAGCACUUUGGAAAGAGAGUCAAACAGUAUGUGAAAUUGUUGAAAGGGAAGCGCUUGCAGUUAGAUUUGUCUACAGUUGCUUAUCUAGGGUUUUUCCUAGUGCACUCUUCUGUUGACAAGCCAGCAUUAGUCUAGGCGGCUGUACAAAGACCUCUGUCACGUACCACUCUUCGGGGUGGCCUUAUAGGGGAGGUGUCAUGCUGUCAGCCUAGACUAAGGCCCGCGCAUCUGCUAGGAUGCUGGCGUAAUAGCUGUAAGCGGCCCGUCUUGAAACACGGACCAAGGAGUCUAACAUCUAUGCGAGUAUUUGGGUGUAAAGCUCAAGUGCGCAAUGAAAGUAAAUGGAGGUGGGAGCCUUUUGGUGCACCAUCGACCGAUCUUGAUGUCUUCAGAUGGAUUUGAGUAAGAGCAUAGCUGUUGGGACCCGAAAGAUGGUGAACUAUGCUUGAAUAGGGUGAAGCCAGAGGAAACUCUGGUGGAGGCUCGCAGCGGUUCUGACGUGCAAAUCGAUCGUCAAAUUUGGGCAUAGGGGCGAAAGACUAAUCGAACUAUCUAGUAGCUGGUUCCUGC